ACGGCUCAGUAACACGUAGUCAACCUGCCCUGGAGACAUGGACAACCCCGGGAAACUGGGAUUAAUCCAUGAUAGGUCAUCUCAUCUGGAAGGAGAGAUGGCUUAAAGGGAUGCGAGAGCUUCUUUUUUGCAUCCGCUCCAGGAUGGGACUGCGGCCGAUCAGGCUGUUGGUGGGGUAAUGGCCCACCAAACCUGUAACCGGUACGGGCCUUGAGAGAGGGGGCCCGGAGAUGGACACUGAGAGAAGGGUCCAGGUCCUACGGGGCGCAGCAGGCGCGAAACCUUCGCAAUGCGCGAAAGCGUGACGAGGUUAAUCCGAGUGGUCCCCGCUGAGGGGAUCUUUUGCCGGCUGUAAAAAGGCCGGUGAAUAAGGGGAGGGCAAGUCUGGUGUCAGCCGCCGCGGUAAUACCAGCUCCUCGAGUGGUCGGGGCGAUUAUUGGGCCUAAAGCAUCCGUAGCCUGUUCUGUAGGUCCUCUGUCAAAUCCAACGGCUUAACCGUUGGCCCGCAGAGGAUACCGCAGGACUAGGAGGCGGGAGAGGUGGACGGUACUCCACGUGUAGGGGUAAAAUCCUUUGAUCCGUGGAAGACCACCAGAUUGCACGCGGUUAGCGACCACGUGCUUGGUGAGUGGCGAAGGCGGUCCACCAGAACGCGCUCGACGGUGAGGGAUGAAAGCUGGGGGAGCGAACCGGAUUAGAUACCCGGGUAGUCCCAGCCGUAAACGAUGCAAGCUAGAUGAUCCGGUCGCAAAUCGCGAUCGGAGUGUCGCAGGGAAGCCGUUAAGCUUGCCGCCUGGGGAGUACGGUCGCAAGACUGAAACUUAAAGGAAUUGGCGGGGGAG
Molecule: ribosomal RNA, 842 nt
Filed under: uncultured archaeon
Lineage: Archaea
Description: bacterial SSU rRNA
Rfam family: Archaeal small subunit ribosomal RNA
Source: RNAcentral